RNAcentral lists this long non-coding RNA (7002 nucleotides) under Lynx pardinus (Iberian lynx). The record is from RNAcentral. Lineage: Eukaryota; Metazoa; Chordata; Mammalia; Carnivora; Felidae.
GCCACUUCUCCAAUCACUUUACAUUUAGCCUGGGGAUCAUUUCCAACAGGUACAGCUGUUGACCAUAGAAUGCCAUUCUUGAAUUCUGUGAAUUCAGGAAAACAUGGGUGACCUGAGCCACGUGUCCAUUCUGAGAAAAGAGGCUGACAGCUUCUCCUGAUCUCUAAGCAGCAGAAAUUCCAGAGGGCAACAGCUGCUAGGGCCCUGACCCUGAACUUGUCAACUUCUUCCCUACCCUCCCACCUCCUUCCUCCUUGCAUACCAGCCAAAGGUAGCUUUCUGCUUCAGUUUUUUUUGGUAAAGAGCCUCAGAGAGGAGCAUUUGAGCACCUACUCCGGCCAGAAAGACCACUGACAUCUGGGCACCGAGGGCCUUGGAAAUGAGACCGUCAUCUAGACUUAUCCAGAGAGGUUGCUACCCUUCCCAUUCUCCCUAAAAAGAUCUGCGGUCUUUCUUAGAGGCUAACACCCUCUGCUGGUCCAGAUGAUUCGUACUCACUCAGAUGCUGAAGCAAAUGAUCUUUGUCGCCAGGGAUAUCUGAAAGGCGUAAUAUUGUACACUCUGGGGGCCAACUUCCCCCCGAAUGAUUAUAUUUCAUUUUCUCCCUGCCACCGAACACAUCUUCCUAAGGACCAGGUUAGUAAGUGGCUCUCCCAGGGACAGCUCUGCAUAAGUGGGAUGGUGUUUACGACGAUGAUGAUCGUCACUCCAGCCCCUAGGACGUUUGAGAAACAAAAAUAAGCUUUGCAAGUUGCCUAUAGCUUCUGCGGACUCAGCAGGCCCCUGCUGGGACCAAUCAAGAGCUGCCUUUGGAAGAGAUCCGGCCUCAUUCUUUCCAAAGUACCGAUUGGCUUUGAGGAAUGGGCGGGGCUGCUGCCUCCUGUCCGGCUUCCCAUAGGUGAAGGAAAGUUAAGGUGGGCCCCCAGCGAGAUUUUUGUCCCGGGACGACGAGGACAGUCCUGGGGAUUUUUUUUUCCCCCUGCUUUGGAGGCCCUGGGCUCAAGGCAAAUUAUAAGUGGGAAACCAAUUGGAAGGAAAGAAAUUUGAACCGAGUUAAGGUGCCAGAAAGAGAAGCAGCCCUAUCUGAAGUCUGCAUCUGCCGCUGACAAACUUGGGGGGGGGGGGGGGGGGGCUGUGUUAAGGGAAGGGGGUUCAGCAAGCACAGGUAGAGGAGAGGCCGGUACGGCCCCAACAGGCCAUCAGAGAGCGGCAAAAUGAUGGAGGGCCCUAGAAAGAAGUCACUCUAGAGGUAACCGCACGAAGGGGGACCCGCUAUGCCUCGGCUCACGAUCCUUUCCCGCUCCCUUUCUGCUGGGCGCAAAACCAUGCUCACCAAUCCCACCUAAACAAGGAGGCAAGGAGCCCAGCCUUUUGUGCAAACGGGAGCUGUAACUGCCCUCCUUUUCUGCCCCCAAGACAAGAGAGGACUCUUGGAAGCCGAGAAGGCUUUGAGAAGUCCUUUCCGGACUGAGCCGUCGCCGGAGGCCCCUGGCGGCCCGCCCGCGCACAGAGGUCCACGAUGGGCCUGCUGCAGGGCCUUCUCCGGGCGAGAAAGCUGCUGCUCGUUAUCUUCGUGCCGCUGCUGCUGCUGCCUCUGCCCAUGCUCCACCCCAGCAGCGUGAGUACCGCCUGUCCCCGCCUGUCCCCUCCGGUCCCUGCCGGGCCGGGCGUCGGGUGCCAGGGCGGGGACGGCGAGGGAUGGGGUGCGACGCGUCUCUCGACAGGGUUUUCUCCGGGGCUCAAGGCCUGCACGUGCCUUUCUGGGGUAGGCUCAAAUGCUUUCUUCCCCCAAACUGCCACUUCUGUCCCUCUACCCCGUUCCCAGGGCCCCAGCCGCGUGGCCCCCUGCCAGGGGGGGGGAGUCUGGAAGGGCGGCCGGACCGGCGGGUGGGUGCUACACCAUCCCUGGGGCGCCCGAACUGGCCACGGGACGCGCGCGGUGUCCAUACGGAGAAGGACACGCUGCUGGGCCAGCGUUUGUCCGGGGUCACAUGGGACCAUCUUCCUGUGAGGGAGCUGGAGAGAGGGAGACCUCCCAGGAAGGACCCUGAGGGGGUGGGGGGUGGGGGCAAUGGGCAGGCAGGGGACUGCCCUUCGGGACUGGGGUGUCUCUGUGGAGACCCUCUGCCCCACCCACCAUCUGUGGACGGGCCAUGCCAGCUUCUGAUAACCAUGCUUUGAAAUGCAAUCGCUCAAGUUCCCUCUGAACUUCACAUUCAAAGCAGAGCUUGGCAUAUUGCCCCAGUCCCCAGCGCAUGGCCCUUUGAUUAUUCGUAUCCGCUGUGUUUUCUCCGUGCCCUUGAAGGGGGGGCAUUCAAUGACGCCAUAAAAAAGAAAUAAGGAAGCCCCCAACUCUAGCCCAUGACCUGAUUUUUGACAGGGUCUGCACGAACAGAGAUACCGAAAGCUCAGGCUCUGCCUUUGGCUUGCUUUUCAGACCACUGUUGGCCUCCCUUUCCCUUUCUGUCUCCCUCCUCCUCCUCCCCCUCCUCUCGGGGUCUCUACCCCGCCUCCAGCUGCCACUACCCUUAAAACUUCAGGAAAAAUAAGCUAAGAGAGGUUAAUCAUGUUUGUGGGAGGGGGAGAGAUUUUCCAGGCAGCUCCCUGAGUAACUUGGUAACCGACAUUGAGUUAUAAAGUUAAAUAGAGGGGAUUAGAGUGGCUCGUCUUAAAAACAAACUGGCUUAAAUCUUUACUAGAAUAAAUACCCCAGAGUGCCAAGGAGACGCUGAUUAACAGCAGGCUGGGAUUAGCAGACAGUGAUUGCUGCUGACAGUUUUCCUGGGCUUACACCAGUCAAUUCUCUGAUCUGUCCAAAUGGGUUGGUUUUUCCUUCCUUCCUUCCUUCCUUCCUCCCUUCCUUCCUUCCUUCCUCCCUCCCUCCCUUCCUUCCUUUCCUUCCUUCCUUUCCUUUGUUUCUUUGUUUUUCUUCUUGGUUUGUUGUUGUUGUUGUUUUACUCAAUGUCAGAUUGCAUUUAAGGGAGUGUUAACCAAAGACAUGUCGCCCUCUUCUCCAUGGAAGUAUCAGGCACCUCUGUGGCCCCGAGUCAGCCCUGUGUUUGGAGACCACGAGUCUAGAGUGUGGUGUUGCCUCCAUUUCAUUCUGGGGCCCUGGCUUUGAGCUUCUGAGUCACCAAUGACAGUAAGAAGCAUCCACAAGAAGAAAAAAGUAACCCAUUAUUGAAGCAAGCAAAAUAAUCAAUAAAUUCGAAGGAAGACAGGUGUUAUCUUAAAGAGGAAAGAAAAGGAAGGGCAGCUGGGCCUCUGCUCUGUUUGGAUCUGUAAAGAUUCUUCGAAGAGAUUUUUAAAGCUGGACUUACUGAGACCAAGAGACGUUGCCCUUUCUUGACCUAGCCCCUUCUGUCACCUUAGAACAGGGUUUCUCGACAGCCACACUAGUGACAUUUGGGGGCCAGAUAAUUCUCUGUUGUGGGGAGGGCUGUCCUGUGACUGUAGGGAGUUCAGCAGCACCCCUGGUCUUUACCCAUUAGAGGCUAGCAGCACACACUGCCAACCCCAUGAUGGCCAAAAAUGCUUCCAGAUAUUACCAAUACCCCUGGGGCGGGGUACAGAAUCACCCCCUGCUGAGAACAAGUGCCUUUUAAGAAAGGUGACAUAACACUACCCCAGGCACCUGGGUUAGGGGAGGGUGGAUAGUUUGACUCCCUCCCUCGGGACAGCCAGAUGGAGCCUGGGGUGGUCCAUGCCUUUCAGGAGUAGCUUUCUUGCCAUCUACCCACUUUGCCCUGCAGAGACGAUUUCUCCGUGUGUCACAGUGUCAACAAGGGCUCUGCUCCUCUUCUACGAUGACAUAAAAGCACCUUGAGGUCACCGGAACAAGCCAACACAUAGAACGUCUCUGACCCAUUCUUACUCCUGUGCAUUAAACUUUUAGACUCUGAUAUUUAAUCCUCAGGAUUCCUAAAUGGACCUGUUUGCCCUGGGCGGGAGCUGAGAGGAGGGACCCGGCCAGGAGCUCCUGGCCUGCUGUUCUGAUGAUUCUUCAAAGUGCCAAGCCACAGCUACGUUUUAGGAAGGAUUAGAAGGACCUUCCCCUUUUUCCUGACCAGCUCUCUAAAACCAGGGGCCCAGACUCAGUUUACCAUGUUACAGAAGAGGAGGGGACAAGGCGGGGGUGGGGGUCGUCCAUAAAUUAGCCCCGCUUCAGUGUCCCUGGUGGGAUAAAAGUUACACCCAAGCCCCAGCUUAAUUGCAGAAAGGCGUCACAGCCAUCUAUGACAGCAAAGAAGACCUCAAGCCCCUUCCAGUCAAGUCUGAAUGGCACAUCACUGAGGUGACCGGGCAGCAUGGAAAAGGAACAGAUGCACACAUCAGGUGGUAGCAGAGUCAGGAAACUUCCAAUGUGGGUAAAGCCACUUUUGAGCUUUUGAGCUUCCUCCUUUAUUUAUAAAAGGCAGCAAAACAGAGCUGGCAACACUCUCCUUUAAAGGCACCGCCUGCAUACUCAUCCGCCCCUACAUACCUGCUGACUAGCGGCAGUGAUAAGGGACCUAGGGUUUCCAGAAUAUUCUCUCCGAUAGAUAAGAGAAACCUGAUAGCCAACAGAGGAACCCAGUUCAGUUCAACCAAUAUUAAUUGAGCCACCUGCCAGACCUUGGCCAGAUGCGGGGUCCCAGGAGUCCUAUAAUCAAACCUCACAAGAUUUGGGGGGUUAUCUAAAUAUAAGCUUACCCACUGAACUUUGAGAAGGUUCAGAAGGAGCAAAAGGAAGUUUAUGUAAAUUCCAUGGGUGAAGUGGGCAAGAAAUAUGGAAAGGCCAAUCGGAGGCCCUCUCUUGCCCAUUCUCCUGCUCUAAGGAAAGUUCAGGGAAAAAAGGAUGAUGGUAGGUUAUCCUGUUCUUUAUAAUGCUGGAUGAAGGGGCGCCUGGGUGGCUCAGUCGGUUAAGCAUCUGACUCUUGAUUUCAGCUCAGGUCUUGAUCUCAGGGUGGUGGGUUUGGGCUCUGUGCUGGGCGUGGAGCCUACUUAAAAAAAAAAUCCUGGAUGAAAGUGGUUUGCUGACUUCCUCCAAGCCAACCCAUCCUAAUUCCUAAAUUUACCUUGGCUUACCCAAAUCUUCCUAAUUCAAACUAAAAUGCUGCCUGGUAGAGUUUUUUCUCUAUCAUUCUUUCUCUUGGUCUGUCACCCCUUCCCACUGCAGCCCCUUCCCUCCCUAACUUAAUUUGUGGCUCUGUUAUGACAAGAAAAACCGAAAGUUCCCAGUGAGGGAGAGAUAUUCUGUCCCAUCGUUAGGGCCCCCUUUAUCUUCAGCUGAGUUACGGGAGACCUGCCAUUCUGUUUCUCAGAAAAGAGAUGGAAAUAAGUGGGCCCAAGUAAGGUAAAGGGCUUCUUUGGGUAGUUUUGUUUCUGCAACAAAGUUGGUAUUUCUCUAAAUUGCAUUAUUUUCCAAUGGCGCCUUCCCCCCACCCCCACCCCCCUUACUGGUUCUGUUGUCUUAUCAGUGACUUCCAAAAGUUUUAACUUCUCUCUGAUCUUUUGGCCCCAGAGGAAAUCUCAGUGGGAGCUACAGUCAACAAUUAUUGGGCCCAGUUCCCAUUUCUCAAACCCCAAGGCAGUAAUCCAUGCAUAUCAGGAGGGAACAAGGUCCCAUUCUUCCAAGCUGGGUUAAUCACUCCUGACGCCCCUCACUGAUCAUGGCGACCUUUUGUAACUUUUGUGCAAGAGUUUGAGGAGGCUUGUUCUGAACCCAAGGGAGAGAUAAACAGAACAAGAUUUGUCAGGUUUCUUGAUCACCAGCCAGCCUCAGGGUAGGUCAGACCUGAGCCCAGAUGGUUUAGAACUACGUAUAAAUUGAGGAACCCACAGCCAGCUUGCACCUUCUAUACAGUGGCCCUCCAAGUCUGUUGUUAGGGCCCUUGGAUAGUGACGUCUCCCAAGAGUAAGCCAGCGACCUUUCUCAGCACCAUUAAUCAGAAUCAUCCCGAGCAACUAGAAUUACUAAAGGCUGAGGUUAAGGAGGGCUGAUUGUUGAUAACAAUGUUGUGCCUUUUUAUUCCGUGCACACCAGUGUGGUAUAGCCAGCAAAGGAAGGAGGUUGGGGAAAACUCUCGUAAAUUUCCAGCCGUUCCCUUCCAGGUAGACAGCACUUUUUAUCCCCUAUGUCCCAUGGAUGUCUCCCUGGGCAUCAGGCAGGUGGAAUGAAGUCCCAGGGCAAUGAGAACCAGAUAAUGGUAAGGGCGAUGGUUCUCACCCCGGGACAAAUUUCCCCACUCCCACCCGGAGGGAUAUUUAGUAAUGUCUAAAGACAUUGGUUGUCACGAUGGGGAGGUGCUACUGACAUCUAGUGGGUAUAGGCCAGGGAUGCUAAACAUCUUAAUGCACAGGACAGCCCCCCACAGCAAGGAAUUAUCCAGCCCCAAAGAGGGCCAGUCUCAGAGCUCACAUCUGAAUUGGUUACACAAAUUGAUCCCUACUUUCAACUAUCCCGAGAACAUCUGCGCCCCGUCAACUCGACACCAAAAUAUCACGCUCCGUGUUAAAGCUAUGAACUCCAACUUGAGAGCGGAUGAUCUCGGGUCUGAGCACCGCAGUUAAUUGGGGUCCCCACCCUGCACAGUUUCAAGAACGAGCAGAGCUGGGACAUGGUCAGUCUGGUGGCCAUCCUGCUGCAAACCACGUGCCAGGCACCGGUCCCCCCCCAAGGAGCAGCCAUUAUUUCACAUGCCAAAGCGUGGGCCCCGCCGCGUGUCCACCAGAGGCCAGCUUUGCACACACACACACCCCCACCCAGGGCUGUGUCCUCGUGCCCAUCUUUGACUCUGGGUACCAGCUGCCUCUGCCCCCGGGUCUCGUUUGGAUUCUCAGGGGCCAUGGCUGUCCCUGUGGCUAACCGCCCACUCCCCUUCCCUUCCAGGAGGCCGCGUGUGCUUAUGUGUUGAUCGUGACUGCUGUGUACUGGGUGUCUGAGGCGGUGCCCCUCGGAGCUGCAGCCCUGGUGCCUGCCUUCCUUUACCCGUUCUUCGGAGUCCUCCGAUCCAGUGAGGU